CCUACGGGAGGCUGCAGUCGAGAAUAAUUCACAAUGGGGGCAACCCUGAUGGUGCAACGCCGCGUGGAGGAUGAAGGUCUUCGGAUUGUAAACUCCUGUCAUCCGGGAGCAAGACUUGACGGUUAACAGCCGGCAGGGUUGAUAGUACCGGAAGAGGAAGGGACGGCUAACUUCGUGCCAGCAGCCGCGGUAAUACGAAGGUCCCGAGCGUUGUUCGGAAUCACUGGGCGUAAAGGGAGCGUAGGCGGCGUGGUAAGUCAGAUGUGAAAUCCCGG
This 275-nucleotide ribosomal RNA is filed under the name uncultured Luteolibacter sp. RNAcentral's name for it is "partial 16S ribosomal RNA". It matches the Rfam family "Bacterial small subunit ribosomal RNA", at positions 338 to 605 of the family's 1533-position model. The record is from RNAcentral. Lineage: Bacteria; Pseudomonadati; Verrucomicrobiota; Verrucomicrobiia; Verrucomicrobiales; Verrucomicrobiaceae.